GGGCGCGUAGCUCAGCUGGUUAGAGCGCACGGUUCACAUCCGUGAAGUCGGCGGUUCGAGUCCGCCCGUGCCCA
Molecule: transfer RNA, 74 nt
Filed under: Anaerolineae bacterium
Lineage: Bacteria; Bacillati; Chloroflexota; Anaerolineae
Also listed under: 2 other names
Description: tRNA-Val
Rfam family: tRNA
About the family: Transfer RNA (tRNA) molecules are approximately 80 nucleotides in length. Their secondary structure includes four short double-helical elements and three loops (D, anti-codon, and T loops).
Source: RNAcentral